RNAcentral lists this ribosomal RNA (429 nucleotides) under Acidobacteriota bacterium. Its description in RNAcentral is "Acidobacteria bacterium partial 16S ribosomal RNA". It matches the Rfam family "Bacterial small subunit ribosomal RNA", at positions 355 to 776 of the family's 1533-position model. Lineage: Bacteria; Pseudomonadati; Acidobacteriota. The record is from RNAcentral.
UGGGGAAUUUUGGACAAUGGGGGAAACCCUGAUCCAGCCAUCCCGCGUGUGCGAUGAAGGCCUUCGGGUUGUAAAGCACUUUUGGCAGGAAAGAAACGUCAUGGGUUAAUACCCCGUGAAACUGACGGUACCUGCAGAAUAAGCACCGGCUAACUACGUGCCAGCAGCCGCGGUAAUACGUAGGGUGCAAGCGUUAAUCGGAAUUACUGGGCGUAAAGCGUGCGCAGGCGGUUCGGAAAGAAAGAUGUGAAAUCCCAGAGCUCAACUUUGGAACUGCAUUUUUAACUACCGGGCUAGAGUGUGUCAGAGGGAGGUGGAAUUCCGCGUGUAGCAGUGAAAUGCGUAGAUAUGCGGAGGAACACCGAUGGCGAAGGCAGCCUCGUGGGAUAACACUGACGCUCAUGCACGAAAGCGUGGGGAGCAAACAGG